UUGUAGAGAUACGAGUGUGCCUUCGGGAGCUCUGAGACAGGUGCUGCAUGGCUGUCGUCAGCUCGUGUUGUGAAAUGUUGGGUUAAGUCCGCAACGAGCGCAACCCUUAUCCUUGUUUGCCAGCACUUCGGGUGGGAACUCCAGGGAGACUGCCGGUGAUAAACCGGAGGAAGGUGGGGACGACGUCAAGUCAUCAUGGCCCUUACGAGUAGGGCUACACACGUGCUACAAUGGCGCAUACAGAGGGCGGCGAGCCAGCGAUGGUGAGCGAAUCCCAAAAAGUGCGUCGUAGUCCGGAUUGGAGUCUGCAACUCGACUCCAUGAAGUCGGAAUCGCUAGUAAUCGUGGAUCAGAAUGCCACGGUGAAUACGUUCCCGGGCCUUGUACACACCGCCCGUCACACCAUGGGAGUGGGCUGCAAAAGAAGUGGGUAGUUUAACCUUAGGGGGGACGCUCACCACUUUGUGGUUCAUGACUGGGGUGAAGUCGUAACAAGGUAGGCGUAGUGCU
This 510-nucleotide ribosomal RNA is filed under the name uncultured bacterium. RNAcentral's name for it is "bacterial SSU rRNA". It matches the Rfam family "Bacterial small subunit ribosomal RNA", at positions 998 to 1509 of the family's 1533-position model. The record is from RNAcentral.